This 208-nucleotide ribosomal RNA is filed under the name uncultured bacterium. Its description in RNAcentral is "partial 16S ribosomal RNA". It matches the Rfam family "Bacterial small subunit ribosomal RNA", at positions 568 to 774 of the family's 1533-position model. The record is from RNAcentral.
CGCGUAGGCGGCCACCGCAAGUCGACUGUGAAAUCUCCGGGCUUAACCCGGAAAGGUCAGCCGAUACUGCGGGGCUAGAGUGCAGAAGGGGCAACUGGAAUUCUCGGUGUAGCGGUGAAAUGCGUAGAUAUCGAGAGGAACACCUGCGGCGAAGGCGGGUUGCUGGGCUGACACUGACGCUGAAGUGCGAAAGCUAGGGGAGCGAACG